ACGAACGCUGGCGGCGUGCUUAACACAUGCAAGUCGAACGGUGAAAGAGGAGCUUGCUCCUCUGGAUCAGUGGCGAACGGGUGAGUAACACGUGAGUAACCUGCCCUUGACUCUGGGAUAAGCGUUGGAAACGACGUCUAAUACCGGAUACGACAACCGAUGGCAUCAUCUGGUUGUGGAAAGAAUUUCGGUCAAGGAUGGACUCGCGGCCUAUCAGCUAGUUGGUGAGGUAAUGGCCCACCAAGGCGACGACGGGUAGCCG
RNAcentral lists this ribosomal RNA (262 nucleotides) under Herbiconiux sp. ISO257_OTU2453. RNAcentral describes it as "partial 16S ribosomal RNA". It matches the Rfam family "Bacterial small subunit ribosomal RNA", at positions 29 to 289 of the family's 1533-position model. The record is from RNAcentral. Lineage: Bacteria; Bacillati; Actinomycetota; Actinomycetes; Micrococcales; Microbacteriaceae. RNAcentral also lists the same sequence under 5 other names.